RNAcentral lists this ribosomal RNA (1049 nucleotides) under Klebsiella quasivariicola. RNAcentral describes it as "bacterial SSU rRNA". It matches the Rfam family "Bacterial small subunit ribosomal RNA", at positions 34 to 1078 of the family's 1533-position model. The record is from RNAcentral. Lineage: Bacteria; Pseudomonadati; Pseudomonadota; Gammaproteobacteria; Enterobacterales; Enterobacteriaceae.
CGAUAGCCGAAGCUAAACAUGCAGUCGAGCGGUAGCACAGAGAGCUUGCUCUCGGGUGACGAGCGGCGGACGGGUGAGUAAUGUCUGGGAAACUGCCUGAUGGAGGGGGAUAACUACUGGAAACGGUAGCUAAUACCGCAUAACGUCGCAAGACCAAAGUGGGGGACCUUCGGGCCUCAUGCCAUCAGAUGUGCCCAGAUGGGAUUAGCUAGUAGGUGGGGUAACGGCUCACCUAGGCGACGAUCCCUAGCUGGUCUGAGAGGAUGACCAGCCACACUGGAACUGAGACACGGUCCAGACUCCUACGGGAGGCAGCAGUGGGGAAUAUUGCACAAUGGGCGCAAGCCUGAUGCAGCCAUGCCGCGUGUGUGAAGAAGGCCUUCGGGUUGUAAAGCACUUUCAGCGGGGAGGAAGGCGUUGAGGUUAAUAACCUUGUCGAUUGACGUUACCCGCAGAAGAAGCACCGGCUAACUCCGUGCCAGCAGCCGCGGUAAUACGGAGGGUGCAAGCGUUAAUCGGAAUUACUGGGCGUAAAGCGCACGCAGGCGGUCUGUCAAGUCGGAUGUGAAAUCCCCGGGCUCAACCUGGGAACUGCAUUCGAAACUGGCAGGCUAGAGUCUUGUAGAGGGGGGUAGAAUUCCAGGUGUAGCGGUGAAAUGCGUAGAGAUCUGGAGGAAUACCGGUGGCGAAGGCGGCCCCCUGGACAAAGACUGACGCUCAGGUGCGAAAGCGUGGGGAGCAAACAGGAUUAGAUACCCUGGUAGUCCACGCCGUAAACGAUGUCGAUUUGGAGGUUGUGCCCUUGAGGCGUGGCUUCCGGAGCUAACGCGUUAAAUCGACCGCCUGGGGAGUACGGCCGCAAGGUUAAAACUCAAAUGAAUUGACGGGGGCCCGCACAAGCGGUGGAGCAUGUGGUUUAAUUCGAUGCAACGCGAAGAACCUUACCUGGUCUUGACAUCCACAGAACUUACCAGAGAUGCAUUGGUGCCUUCGGGAACUGUGAGACAGGUGCUGCAUGGCUGUCGUCAGCUCGUGUUGUGAAAUGUUUG